This 243-nucleotide ribosomal RNA is filed under the name uncultured bacterium. RNAcentral describes it as "partial 16S ribosomal RNA". It matches the Rfam family "Bacterial small subunit ribosomal RNA", at positions 89 to 334 of the family's 1533-position model. The record is from RNAcentral.
AGUAGAGUGGCGGACGGGUGAGUAACGCGUAGGAACCUACCUGGUAGCGGGGGGACAACCUGGUGAAAACCAGGCUAAUACCGCAUACGCCCUACGGGGGAAAGCAGGGGAUCUUCGGACCUUGCACUAUCAGAUGGGCCUGCGUCGGAUUAGCUAGUUGGUGAGGUAAUGGCUCACCAAGGCGACGAUCCGUAGCUGGUUUGAGAGAAUGAUCAGCCACACUGGGACUGAGACACGGCCCAG